CUCAUCUAUACCGGAAGUGGCGUAGUGUUUAUGUACGGAUCUUCAGCACGCGCGGUUUAUGUGUUGCAUGGUGGUAAAGCGCGACACCGGCAAACACUUCUAAAGUUAUUUUAAUGUUUAAACUUUUAUCAAAUUGCGAUCUAGAGUUUUUCAAAUGUCUGUCCUGCUAUCAGAUGAUCGCGGGUGGCUGUUGGACGCAUGUUCUUUCAUAAAUGAAGGAUUUCGGCGGUGCUACAGUGUAAACAAGGGCCACUUCAGGUGCUAUUUCAAGAAGCAGUACUUUGAUAUACAGAAGCCUCAUAUAGUGAGUAAGUGCAGGAGUGAUAGUAUGAUCAGUGCUGUAGCACACACAGAGAGCCAUGUGGAUGGGGAUGCCAGAAUGGAGUUAAAGACACGAAGGAAGAGGAAGCGUAAAAGAAGUGAGCUGAAUCAGGGGGAGUUGGAUGCUGAAGAAUAUCAUAAAAAGGUCAGGUUGUUGGUUCUGGAGGGCACUCGGUCUCUACUGGAAAGUGGGCAUCACUGUGGUUAUCUGACAGAAGAUUUACAUACAGUGCCAACAAAACAAAUGCCUGUUCAUGAGUGCCAGCUGGCUGCACUAUGUGACAUGGCCAAGCAGCUGCUUAAAACGGAGAAUUCUGAAGCCCCACACGUGCAGGCUGUUAAUGGCCAUGCAGACUCGGAUGCACACCUUGAUCUGUUCUCGUGCCUCACAGAAAAUCCAGAUGACUGUGCCCGUGAGGUAACGCUAAUGGGGGAGACGUAUUUCCUGCCUCCUCGCAGCCGUUUCCUGUUGUCUGACAUCACAUGUUUACAACCACUUAUCCGCAAUGGAGACAAAUAUGACCUAAUAGUUCUUGAUCCACCCUGGGAAAAUAAAUCUGUGAAAAGAAGCAGUAGGUACAGUUUUCUGCCAUCUUCUCAGCUCAAAAAACUUCCUGUGCCAUUGUUGAGUGCAGCAGGAUGUGUGGUGGUUACUUGGGUAACCAACCGUCCUCGCCAUCUCCGGUUCGUCAAAGAGGAACUUUAUCCUCACUGGGGAGUGAAGCUACUUGCAGAGUGGCUCUGGGUGAAGGUGACCCGGAAAGGGGAGGUAGUUUUCCCCCUGGAUUCGCCACACAAGAAACCUUACGAAGUGUUAUUACUUGGAAGGUUCUGUGCUAGCAGUGACAGCACAACUAGAGCAGCUGAGAUGUGUAACUAGACACAAGGUGGUAUAUUUCCUUUACUACUUCUAAAAAAAAAUACAUUUUGCUGAUUUUUGACUGGUUGGUUGUAACAAACUGCGAAUCUCUUUGUGGUUUAUUCAAUACGCUGCCUGGUCACAUUACUGUCUAAAAGUUUGUACGGAUGAUGAUAAUUACCUGCAGCCUGGUAAUUUCUAUACAGCAGCAAAUUACACUUGGCAAGUUUUAUUCACAAAUAUGGGCACCCCAAAAGCAUGGUCUUUGUAUAUGUGUUUUAAGUUAUACCAAAUUGUUCACACACUAUCCCGUUUGUUUCAGAUCUGAAGUGUGUGAGAUCCCAGAUCAACGGCUCAUAAUUAGCAUUCCCUCAGCACUGCACUCUCAGAAGCCAGCUCUCUCAGCUGUGCUGAAGCCAUACAUUAGGCCUAAAGCUAAGUGUCUGGAAAUGUUUGCUCGAAGUCUCCAGC
RNA transcript from Pangasianodon hypophthalmus (striped catfish), 1651 nucleotides. It is a transcript of the gene named methyltransferase 4, N6-adenosine, with no coding region annotated. The transcript has 8 exons. NCBI's taxonomy places the organism in Eukaryota, Metazoa, Chordata, Actinopteri, Siluriformes, Pangasiidae. The record is from RefSeq and is a predicted model, not a curated record.